GAGGGUACAGCUCAAGUGGUAGAGUGCAUGCUUAGCACGCAUGAGGUCCUGGGUUCAAUCUCCAGUACCUCCU
This 73-nucleotide transfer RNA is filed under the name Camelus bactrianus (Bactrian camel). It matches the Rfam family "tRNA". Rfam says of the family: Transfer RNA (tRNA) molecules are approximately 80 nucleotides in length. Their secondary structure includes four short double-helical elements and three loops (D, anti-codon, and T loops). RNAcentral also lists the same sequence under 2 other names. Lineage: Eukaryota; Metazoa; Chordata; Mammalia; Artiodactyla; Camelidae. The record is from Rfam by way of RNAcentral.